GAUGAACGCUGGCGGCGUGCCUAAUACAUGCAAGUCGAACGCAUAGCGAAAGGUGCUUGCCCCUUUCAAGUGAGUGGCGAACGGGUGAGUAACACGUGGACAACCUGCCUCAAGGCUGGGGAUAACAUUUGGAAACAGAUGCUAAUACCGAAUAAAACUUAGUGUCGCAUGACACAAAGUUAAAAGGCGCUUCGGCGUCACCUAGAGAUGGAUCCGCGGUGCAUUAGUUAGUUGGUGGGGUAAAGGCCUACCAAGACAAUGAUGCAUAGCCGAGUUGAGAGACUGAUCGGCCACAUUGGGACUGAGACACGGCCCAAACUCCUACGGGAGGCUGCAGUAGGGAAUCUUCCACAAUGGGCGAAAGCCUGAUGGAGCAACGCCGCGUGUGUGAUGAAGGCUUUCGGGUCGUAAAGCACUGUUGUAUGGGAAGAACAGCUAGAAUAGGAAAUGAUUUUAGUUUGACGGUACCAUACCAGAAAGGUACGGCUAAAUACGUG
This 497-nucleotide ribosomal RNA is filed under the name uncultured bacterium. Its description in RNAcentral is "partial 16S ribosomal RNA". It matches the Rfam family "Bacterial small subunit ribosomal RNA", at positions 28 to 507 of the family's 1533-position model. The record is from RNAcentral.